Molecule: long non-coding RNA, 399 nt
Filed under: Elaeis guineensis (African oil palm)
Lineage: Eukaryota; Viridiplantae; Streptophyta; Magnoliopsida; Arecales; Arecaceae
Description: long non-coding RNA (EGUI_LNC021691)
Source: RNAcentral
CCCCCAUCCCAACUUUCUGUUGGCAUCAGAACAAUAUAUAUAAAAAAAAGAAGAGUGAACAAAGGGAUGUCAGUACCCUUGUUCUCCCAAGCGCCCAUACACAUUUCCAUAUCGAGCUCUAUCAGAUCAGUGGCACCCAGAACCCUUCAAAACCAAAAUAGAUGUUCUUGGCACGUCUUUGGCAAAUCUAUAAUGCUCCCUUUGUUCGACCCAGCUAUAACUCGGACUUGAGAGGAGGGAGGCUAAUGUUGGGGAUAUUCUUGUAUUGGCCGAAAAUGUGAGACUGGCCGAAGAAAUAAGAUGGAUUCCAGCCGUAGCCACAUUACCCACCACAACAUGACAAAAUGAGUAUUUAUGCUUCGGAUCAUAUGGAUCUGAUGAGAGGCAUUAAUGCCUCUC